CCUGGUAGUCCACACGGUAAACGAUGAAUACUCGCUGUUUGCGAUAUACAGCAAGCGGCCAAGCGAAAGCGUUAAGUAUUCCACCUGGGGAGUACGCCGGCAACGGUGAAACUCAAAGGAAUUGACGGGGGCCCGCACAAGCGGAGGAACAUGUGGUUUAAUUCGAUGAUACGCGAGGAACCUUACCCGGGCUUAAAUUGCAGAUGAAUUACGGUGAAAGCCGUAAGCCGCAAGGCAUCUGUGAAGGUGCUGCAUGGUUGUCGUCAGCUCGUGCCGUGAGGUGUCGGCUUAAGUGCCAUAACGAGCGCAACCCUUGUUGUCAGUUACUAACAGGAUUUGCUGAGGACUCUGACAAGACUGCCAUCGUAAGAUGUGAGGAAGGUGGGGAUGACGUCAAAUCAGCACGGCCCUUACGUCCGGGGCUACACACGUGUUACAAUGGGGGGUACAGAGGGCCGCUACCACGCGAGUGGAUGCCAAUCCCAAAAACCUCUCUCAGUUCGGACUGGAGUCUGCAACCCGACUCCACGAAGCUGGAUUCGCUAGUAAUCGCGCAUCAGCCACGGCGCGGUGAAUACGUUCCCGGGCCUUGUACACACCGCCCGUCAAGCCAUGGGAGCCGGGGGUACCUGAAGUGCGUAACCGCGAGGAGCGCCCUAGGGUAAAACUGGUGACUGGGGCUAAGUCGUAACAAGGUAGCCGUACCGGAAGGUGCGGCUGGAACACCUCCUUUCUGGAG
Molecule: ribosomal RNA, 739 nt
Filed under: Phocaeicola vulgatus
Lineage: Bacteria; Pseudomonadati; Bacteroidota; Bacteroidia; Bacteroidales; Bacteroidaceae
Description: bacterial SSU rRNA
Rfam family: Bacterial small subunit ribosomal RNA
Source: RNAcentral